Molecule: ribosomal RNA, 460 nt
Filed under: uncultured bacterium
Lineage: Bacteria
Description: partial 16S ribosomal RNA
Rfam family: Bacterial small subunit ribosomal RNA
Source: RNAcentral
CCUACGGGGGGCAGCAGUGAGGAAUAUUGGUCAAUGGACGAGAGUCUGAACCAGCCAAGUAGCGUGAAGGAUGACUGCCCUAUGGGUUGUAAACUUCUUUUAUAUGGGAAUAAAACGUUCCACGUGUGGGAUUUUGUAUGUACCAUAUGAAUAAGGAUCGGCUAACUCGGUGCCAGCAGCCGCGGUAAUACGGAGGAUCCGAGCGUUAUCCGGAUUUAUUGGGUUUAAAGGGAGCGUAGGUGGUUUGUUAAGUCAGUGGUUAAAGUUUGGGGCUCAACCGUAAAAUUGCAGUUGAAACUGUCAGUCUUGAGUACAGUAGAGGUAGGCGGAAUUCGUGGGGUAGCGGUGAAAUGCUUAGAUAUCACGAAGAACUCCGAUUGCGAAGGCAGUUCACUGGACUGCAACUGACGCUGAGGCUCGAAAGUGUGGGUAUCAAACAGGAUUAGAUACCCUGGUAGUC